AUGAAGUUGAAAUCGCUAGUAAUCACGGAUCAGCAUGCCGUGGUGAAUAUGUACCCGGGCCCUGUACACACCGCCCGUCACACCCUGGGAAUUGGUUUCGCCCGAAGCAUCGGACCAAUGAUCACCCAUGACUUAUGUGUACCACUAGUGCCACAAAGGCCUUUGUUGGUCUUAUUGGCGCAUAACACGGCUGGUUCUUCGACUGGGGUGAAGUCGUAA
RNAcentral lists this ribosomal RNA (219 nucleotides) under Triticum aestivum (bread wheat). RNAcentral describes it as "partial small subunit ribosomal RNA". It matches the Rfam family "Bacterial small subunit ribosomal RNA", at positions 1320 to 1491 of the family's 1533-position model. The record is from RNAcentral. Lineage: Eukaryota; Viridiplantae; Streptophyta; Magnoliopsida; Poales; Poaceae.